GACGUAGGGGGCGAGCGUUAUCCGGAUUCACUGGGCGUAAAGGGCGCGCAGGCGGCUACGUAAGUCCGGCGUGAAAUCCCACGGCUCAACUGUGGAACUGCGUCGGAUACUGCGUUGGCUUGAGGAUGGUAGAGGCUUUUGGAACUAGCGGUGUAGCGGUGAAAUGCGCAGAUAUCGCUAGGGACGCCGGUGGCGAAGGCGGAAAGCUGGGCCAUUCCUGACGCUGAGGCGCGAAAGCUAGGGGAGCGAACCGG
RNAcentral lists this ribosomal RNA (254 nucleotides) under uncultured bacterium. RNAcentral's name for it is "partial 16S ribosomal RNA". It matches the Rfam family "Bacterial small subunit ribosomal RNA", at positions 524 to 776 of the family's 1533-position model. The record is from RNAcentral.